This 337-nucleotide RNase P RNA is filed under the name Clostridia bacterium. RNAcentral describes it as "RNase P RNA component class A". It matches the Rfam family "Bacterial RNase P class A". From Rfam's summary of the family: Ribonuclease P (RNase P) is a ubiquitous endoribonuclease, found in archaea, bacteria and eukarya as well as chloroplasts and mitochondria. The record is from RNAcentral. Lineage: Bacteria; Bacillati; Bacillota; Clostridia.
CGAGUAAGUCAGACGAUUGCGGGCACUUUAAAGGUGCGUGAGGAAAGUCCGGGCUCCAUAGAGCAAGGGUGCCGGUUAACGGCCGGUGGAGGCGACUCCAAGGAUAGUGCAACAGAAAAUAAACGCCGAAUUUUUCGGUAAGUGUGGAAAUGUGAGGUAAGAGCUCACAGGGAAGAUGGUAACUGAAUUCCCGUGUAAACCCCACCCGGAGCAACAUCGACAGUGCAGCUAAGCCUGCUCGGCAUUGCACGCCUGAUGGCUUGAGCGAGGAGGUAACUCUCCGCCACAGAUAGAUAAUCGUCCGAUACAGAACCCGGCUUAUAGACUUGCUCAUUGU